Molecule: transfer RNA, 72 nt
Filed under: Sus scrofa (pig)
Lineage: Eukaryota; Metazoa; Chordata; Mammalia; Artiodactyla; Suidae
Rfam family: tRNA
About the family: Transfer RNA (tRNA) molecules are approximately 80 nucleotides in length. Their secondary structure includes four short double-helical elements and three loops (D, anti-codon, and T loops).
Source: Rfam by way of RNAcentral
UCCCUGGUGGCCCACUGGUUAGGACACAGAGCUUUCACUGCUGUGGCCCAGGUUCAAUUUCUGGUCUGGGAA